CCUACGGGGGGCGGCAGUGAGGAAUAUUGGGCAAUGCCCGCAAGGGUGACCCAGCAACGCCGCGUGGAGGAUGAAGGCCGUAAGGUCGUAAACUCCUGUUAGAGGGGAAGAAUAGUACCGGUUGGACCGGUAUAUGACUGUACCCUCAGAGAAAGCCCCGGCUAACUACGUGCCAGCAGCCCCGGUC
RNAcentral lists this ribosomal RNA (187 nucleotides) under uncultured bacterium. RNAcentral describes it as "partial 16S rRNA". It matches the Rfam family "Bacterial small subunit ribosomal RNA", at positions 338 to 522 of the family's 1533-position model. The record is from RNAcentral.